Vigna umbellata (rice bean) is the source of this 1398-nucleotide long non-coding RNA. RefSeq lists it as uncharacterized. The record is from RefSeq and is a predicted model, not a curated record. Lineage: Eukaryota; Viridiplantae; Streptophyta; Magnoliopsida; Fabales; Fabaceae.
UUAUAUGUUUUUCCCUUGAACUGUUGCAGAAUAAAUUUGGAUAUUCUCGAAAGAUACCGUCUUUGAAAAGGUCAAUAUUCAAGGCAACCUUGGAGCGAAUGUUUGGUUUGUUUGGUUCUUUUUCAAUGAUUUCUUCACAAGGAGAAACAAGAGAUGAGUUGGGUGAUAACUUCAGGCAUUGGUGCAUUGUCCAUACCAAAUUUUCAUUUUUGGCUCAUUGUGCUAAUUCAUUUGAGCUUGAUCCUAUAAAUAAAAGAUUUAUUCCCAAAGCUUAAAGGAGCUAGCCUUGUUUGCUCUGUACCUCCUUCUGUACCUCCUUCUUGUAAUAGGUUAAUAUUUCUUCGUCAAUUUUAUUAGUGGAAUAGUCUGGCGAUAUAUCUUAUCCAAGCCAAUUACUGUCUUCAAGGUAACUCGCAGCUUGGCAGCAAAAGCUUUUCAGACCUCUCUCCCCCUUUGUAAGGAGACAUUUUUUUCAGCAACUAUGGAGGAUCAUGUUGUUAAAAGGUUUAAUGUCCUGGAACCAUUCCUCCAUGAGCAUUUCCAUUACAAUUUCAGAUGAAAGCCUAAGCUAUUUGUCAAUCCUAAGGUGCCUCUAUAUCCAUGACUUGCUCAAGGGAAGUCUUGGGAUGAAAUGACAGUUACCUGGACUAGUGGAUAUCACAUAAAUGAAGCUAUACCAUUUGUUGAGUGGGGUUCUGAAUGUAAAACACAAGUGAAAUCUUCUGUCGAAACAUUGACAUUUGGUCCUAACAACAUGUGUGGUAUGGUUUAUUUGGUCGUAAUGCCAUCGCACAACCCUUUUUGUACUACUGCAUGCUAGUCUGAUCCAGUUAAUAUUUUUCAGAAACCUAGCUGCAAAAUGAUUUUUUGCUUAGCAUUAUGUAUAUUGUCUAAACCCUUACUAGGAGUCAUCAUGAGCAUUAAUCUAUAAUUAAUUCUGGAGACGAAGGACGGAAGAAACACUUGGCCUCCGCGUUCGAUGUCUUUAGUCAUGCUAGUUCUGACAUGGUAGAUUUCCACAUCUCGUCCGUUUUCCAAGCAUGCAAUGCUAAAGAAAACUAUCUCCGAAUCCAGGACGAUACUUUAAAUGGCCAUGUCCAAGUUGCGGAAGCAUUGUUAAAGAAACCAGUUUCAAAGAUUAACUUGAGGACUGGUGUCACAACCAGGAAGACGGCGAGACUCUUAAAAAUAAUAUUGGUUUAAAAAUUAGAGUUUGGAGUUGCCACCAUAGUUUAUUCUGGAAAACUACGAAAAAACCAUAAAAUAAAGACAUGGUCUACGAAACAAGAGAUUAUGGAUGCGAGAGUCGGUUACGCGUAGGGAAGGUAUUAGCACCCUACAGCGCUUGCCCAAAAGCAGUACCUUUAAUUAAAUGUGCAAAGAUGAUGUGGUUUUCAA